UACAGAGGGGGCAAGCGUUGUUCGGAAUUACUGGGCGUAAAGGGCGCGUAGGCGGCCUGUUAAGUCGAACGUGAAAUCCCCGGGCCCAACCCGGGAACUGCGUCCGAUACUGGCAGGCUUGAAUUCGGGAGAGGGAUGCGGAAUUCCAGGUGUAGCGGUGAAAUGCGCAGAUAUCAGGAGGAACACCGGUGGCGAAGGCGGGUCUCUGGGCCGAUACUGACGCUGAGGAGCGAAAGCGUGGGGAGCGAACAGG
Molecule: ribosomal RNA, 253 nt
Filed under: uncultured bacterium
Lineage: Bacteria
Description: partial 16S ribosomal RNA
Rfam family: Bacterial small subunit ribosomal RNA
Source: RNAcentral